GAGUUCUCUUUUCUUUUUAACAGUCCCCAUGGUGGCGCGCUCGCGCGUACAGCUUGAUGGCCCCGGAAUCGGGUUAACCGGAGAGGGGGUCAAAGGACUGGGAAAGCACUGUACCUUUUGCAGUGUCCGGUGCGCUCCUGACGGCCCUUGAAAAUGUGGGGGAAAGAAUCAUUCUCUUGCCUGGCCGUACUCAUAACCGCAGCAGGUCUCCAAGGUGAACAGCCUCUAGUCGAUAGAAUAAUGUAGGUAAGGGAAGUCGGCAAAAUGGAUCCGUAACUUCGGGAAAAGGAUUGGCUCUAAGGGUUGGGCUAGGGGGUCUGCAUCUGGAGCCCCACUGCUGCUGCAGGGACCGGCUUGCGGCUGGCUGUUCGACUAGGGGCAACCCGAAAGAACGGCUGACUGUGAACGCCCGGCGGUGGUGUGGGGAGCUGGUGCAGGGGGAGGUCCCGUGUGGGCGCGCUGUGGGGCAACCUGCGGCGUGCGCGUGCGGGGGUGCCUUUUUUCCCCUAGCAACUAACAACCAACUUAGAACUGUAACGGACAAGGGGAAUCCGACUGUUUAAUU
RNAcentral lists this ribosomal RNA (565 nucleotides) under Stygamoeba regulata. Its description in RNAcentral is "partial Eukaryotic large subunit ribosomal RNA". It matches the Rfam family "Eukaryotic large subunit ribosomal RNA", at positions 1687 to 2147 of the family's 3401-position model. The record is from RNAcentral. Lineage: Eukaryota; Discosea; Stygamoebida.